UCCUCUUGUUUUUUCUGAACUAUCAUGGCCUCCUCUUCUUCUUCCUUCCUCCUCCAUCCUCCUCUUCCUCCUCCGUCCUUCUACUGUCAUGAUACCACCGCCAUUACUCCAGACAUUAACUCCACUGCCACCGCCAUUUAUAACACUAAUAACAACAACGCCAACCACUUCUUUUACUCUACAAACCAACAGCCAAGACCUGAAGAGGAAAUAAUUUUUAGUUUUACCAGAGGGAGGAAGAGAAGGAUGGUGAGGAAAAGGACAGCUUCUGAAAUAGACGACGAACCAUCUCCGUUUGAUCGGGGCUCUCACUCUUACCACCAUCACGUCGCCGUCCCUCCUCAAUCCUCCACAGUUUUCGACGGGGAUUUGCAAGGACAACCCAACAUUAUCAAUCCUUUUCUUAACAUCCAAUCGCCAUCGUCUCUCUAUC
RNAcentral lists this long non-coding RNA (433 nucleotides) under Zostera marina. Its description in RNAcentral is "long non-coding RNA (ZMAR_LNC005482)". Lineage: Eukaryota; Viridiplantae; Streptophyta; Magnoliopsida; Alismatales; Zosteraceae. The record is from RNAcentral.